GGUGGAGCAAAUCGCUAAAAGCCGUCCCAGUUCGGAUCGCAGGCUGCAACCCGCCUGCGUGAAGUUGGAAUUGCUAGUAAUCGCGGAUCAGCAUGCCGCGGUGAAUACGUUCCCGGGCCUUGUACACACCGCCCGUCACACCAUGAGAGUCGGGAACACCCGAAGUCCGUAGUCUAACCGCAAGGAGGGCGCGGCCGAAGGUGGGUUCGAUAAUUGGGGUGAAGUCGUAACAAGGUAUC
Molecule: ribosomal RNA, 239 nt
Filed under: uncultured bacterium
Lineage: Bacteria
Description: partial 16S ribosomal RNA
Rfam family: Bacterial small subunit ribosomal RNA
Source: RNAcentral